RNAcentral lists this ribosomal RNA (429 nucleotides) under uncultured bacterium. RNAcentral's name for it is "bacterial SSU rRNA". It matches the Rfam family "Bacterial small subunit ribosomal RNA", at positions 917 to 1349 of the family's 1533-position model. The record is from RNAcentral.
GGGCCCGCACAAGCGGUGGAGCAUGUGGUUUAAUUCGAUGAUACGCGAGGAACCUUACCAGGGCUUAAAUGUAGUCUGACAGGGGUGGAAACACCCCCUCCUUCGGGCAGAUUACAAGGUGCUGCAUGGUUGUCGUCAGCUCGUGCCGUGAGGUGUCAGGUUAAGUCCUAUAACGAGCGCAACCCCUGCCGUUAGUUGCCAGCAUGUAAUGAUGGGAACUCUAACGGGACUGCCGGUGCAAACCGCGAGGAAGGUGGGGAUGACGUCAAAUCAUCACGGCCCUUACGUCCUGGGCUACACACGUGCUACAAUGGCCGGUACAGAGGGCAGCCACACCGCAAGGUGGAGCGAAUCCUUAAAACCGGUCUCAGUUCGGAUCGGGGUCUGCAACUCGGCCCCGUGAAGCUGGAAUCGCUAGUAAUCGGAUAU